UACGGAGGGGGCUAGCGUUGUUCGGAAUUACUGGGCGUAAAGCGUACGUAGGCGGCUUUGUAAGUUAGAGGUGAAAGCCCGGGGCUCAACUCCGGAAUUGCCUUUAAGACUGCAUCGCUCGAAUCAUGGAGAGGUGAGUGGAAUUCCGAGUGUAGAGGUGAAAUUCGUAGAUAUUCGGAAGAACACCAGUGGCGAAGGCGACUCACUGGACAUGUAUUGACGCUGAGGUACGAAAGCGUGGGGAGCAAACAGG
Molecule: ribosomal RNA, 253 nt
Filed under: uncultured bacterium
Lineage: Bacteria
Description: partial 16S ribosomal RNA
Rfam family: Bacterial small subunit ribosomal RNA
Source: RNAcentral